CCGAGUUAUCAACUCCCAAACCCCCUGUGAACAUACCUGAACGUUGCUUCGGCGGGACCGCCCCGGCGCCCAUCAGCGGCCCGGAACCAGGCGCCCGCCGGAGGACCCAAACUCUUGCUUCUUCUGUAGUGGCAUUAUCUGAGUCUCACAAACAAAAAUGAAUCA
This 165-nucleotide unclassified non-coding RNA is filed under the name uncultured Tolypocladium. Its description in RNAcentral is "sequence contains ITS1". Lineage: Eukaryota; Fungi; Ascomycota; Sordariomycetes; Hypocreales; Clavicipitaceae. The record is from RNAcentral.